Cygnus olor (mute swan) is the source of this 430-nucleotide long non-coding RNA. RefSeq lists it as uncharacterized. The record is from RefSeq and is a predicted model, not a curated record. The transcript is spliced from 2 exons. Lineage: Eukaryota; Metazoa; Chordata; Aves; Anseriformes; Anatidae.
UUUUGUGAUGGUAUCUUGCCAAACAUCCCCUUUGUCUUAAGCCAAUUUACAUUAUUUUCUGUCUUUUAGGUGGAGCUUGAGUGACUCUAGUCAGGCAUAUCUUGGCUUUGACUGGUGAAAAGUUUUCUUGCUUUCAUUUAAAGGUGUAGACUCCGAGAAGUUCAGAGUGCAUGCUCAGCGAGGGGUGGUCGCACCUUGGAGGCACGGAGCUUUUGGGAUGGAGGCAAUUACUCUGCAACUACCCAAAGCAGCGAUAGUGAGAAGCCCACUUCCAGCAUCCGCUCCCCACGCAGGGACGGACGGGUGGACAGACGGACGCCGCUCUUUGCCUUGCCCGCCAGGGGAAGGGGAGAACGACCGGGCAGGGAGCCCCACCGCAGCCCCCCUCCUGAGAGUCCUGCACAGCAGUUUAAUAAAGUUUGCUUUCUAG